RNAcentral lists this small nuclear RNA (140 nucleotides) under Saimiri boliviensis boliviensis (Bolivian squirrel monkey). RNAcentral's name for it is "U4 spliceosomal RNA (ENSSBOG00000016324.1)". It matches the Rfam family "U4 spliceosomal RNA". Rfam says of the family: U4 small nuclear RNA (U4 snRNA) is a component of the major U2-dependent spliceosome. The structure of U4 snRNA from yeast and human has been reported. U4 snRNA presents a k-turn RNA motif in the 5p-SL related to recognition of Snu13 protein. Lineage: Eukaryota; Metazoa; Chordata; Mammalia; Primates; Cebidae. The record is from Rfam by way of RNAcentral.
AGCUUCGCGCAGUGGCAGUAUCAUAGCCAAUGAGGUUUAUCCGAGGUGCAAAAUUGCUAAUUGAAAACUUUUCCCAAUACCCUGCCAUGAAGACUUGCAAUAUAGUCGGCAUUGGCAAUUUUUGACAGUCUCUAUGGAGA